CGAGUAGGACUACCCGCUGAACUUAAGCAUAUCAAUAAGCGGAAGAAAAGAAACUAACAAGGAUUCCCCUAGUAACGGCGAGUGAAGAAGGAAGAACUCAAAUUUUGAAUCUGAAAUCUUUGGUGUCCGAGUUGUAAUCUAGAGAAGUGUUUUCCGUGGCGGACCGUGUACAAUCGA
Molecule: ribosomal RNA, 177 nt
Filed under: uncultured sebacinaceous ectomycorrhiza ERF1
Lineage: Eukaryota; Fungi; Basidiomycota; Agaricomycetes; Sebacinales; Sebacinaceae
Description: partial 26S ribosomal RNA
Rfam family: Eukaryotic large subunit ribosomal RNA
Source: RNAcentral